This 261-nucleotide ribosomal RNA is filed under the name uncultured archaeon. RNAcentral describes it as "partial 16S ribosomal RNA". It matches the Rfam family "Archaeal small subunit ribosomal RNA", at positions 720 to 982 of the family's 1478-position model. The record is from RNAcentral.
CACUGACAUUAGAUACCCGUGUAGUCCCAGCCGUAAACUAUGCGCGUUAGGUGUAUCGGUGACCACGAGUUACCGAGGUGCCGAAGGGAAACCGUGAAACGUGCCGCCUGGGAAGUACGGUCGCAAGGCUGAAACUUAAAGGAAUUGGCGGGGAGCACCACAACAGGUGGAGCCUGCGGUUUAAUUGGACUCAACGCCGGGAAGCUCACCGGAUAGGACAGCAGAAUGAUUGCCGGGCUGAAGACCCUGCAUGACUAGCUG